AAUUUUAUAGGCGGUAAGAGAAGUUAAACACCCAAGAUUUCAAAGUGGACAUGGAAACAGCACAGAGGCUCCAGAGACACAAAAUGAAUCUGAAAAGUGCAGGCAAAGGAGAGGAUUUCUGAGUUGGGUUCUGAGGUGGUGGUUGGGGAGGGAGACCAAGGCAAAAACAAAGAAGGUGAGAUACUUGUUCUCAAAUGUUCAUCGGUAUGAAGAUUGGGAACAAGAGUGAAAUGAUCCUAGGACAAUGCUGGUAAGCCUGUUAGAAAUACGGAAGGCCAGCGCUUCCAGAAACCGCCCGGCUGCUCUUGACCCACACAUCAGGGAACACUCAAGAUUUAUCUAAACUGUCAGGGAAGGGCCGUGGCCUGUAUCUCGACAUCUGUGGGAAGAUGUUCCUGAAGUAAGAGUCCAAAACCAUGCGUCCAACAGAGGAGUGAGGAGGUGGUCAAGACCUACCAGCCGUGGAGGUGGAUGCAGAACAGGAAAUGGAGUCAGGACCAGAGAAGGCACCUUGGGCAAAGUUCCCAGCAAGCUCCUGCUCCCGACCUGCUGCCCACUCAGCAGCUGGAACCACCUGAGCAUCAUUUGUAGGCUCUGUCCCAUCUCAGUCUCAGGGACCCAGGGAGCUGGUAACUAAGUAGCCCAAAGUCUACUGAGCGAAUUAUCCAGUCCUCUUGUCACCUGCUGCUUUUCAUAACUUCAGCUCUGCCUUAUUUCUGGAAUUAAGCCCUUGCUUCCUGGCCCACUUCCAGUCAUCAGGUUCCCAGAUCGCCCUCCCGCCCAAGUCCCUCCGUAUAAUUUUCCAGGUUAGAACAGAGCUGCAUCUUGAUUGGCUAUGAAGUGGUCCUGGGAGAGCGCCUCUGCUGGAACUUUGAGAUCUUUCUCCGGAUUCCCAGGUGGAUAUCCAGCCUGAAGUCCUGUGUUUUCUAGUCUCAGAUGCCCUGUGGCUAGGGAUCCGCCCCUCUUAGAGCCCCAGCAAAUUACCUCCUGCAGGAAUUCUCAAACACCCAUUACUAGUCUCAGGACAGUCUGUAUCAUUUGCCUGGAGGCUUGGUCUCCCCUCGAGUCAUACCUAAGUCAGCCACCGACCAGAUUUCUCUUCCUGCCUCAGAGUGAGACAGCCAAUAGGAGAGGCAAGGAGAAGCCUUGGAGGAAGGCUGGAAGGCAGGCAGAUCCCAAGGAAGAAGGAGGAAGCACUUGGCUGAACAGUGAGGUGUCGCUUUCUUCAUCUGAUCUGGGUUAUAGCUGUUAACUCUUCAUCCCCAACCUGCCUGCUUCCCCAACAACCCUGAAAUCAACCUUGCUUAAGCAUGGUUGUAUUUGCAAUCCAAACCAACCUCUGGGGAUAAUGAGUUUCAGGUGUAAAUUAACCCCUUUAUGUACAAAGAAGGAGCUCAUUGACUCCUGGUUGAUACUUACAAGGAUUAACAAGG
This 1433-nucleotide long non-coding RNA is filed under the name Bos grunniens (domestic yak). Its description in RNAcentral is "lncRNA (ENSBGRG00000020436.1)". The record is from RNAcentral. Lineage: Eukaryota; Metazoa; Chordata; Mammalia; Artiodactyla; Bovidae.